CACCAGGUCAGGACACGGUAAGGAUUGACGGACUGAAGGCUCUUUCUCGAUUCCGUGGAAAGUGGUGCAUGGCCGUUUUUGGUUGGUGGAUCGAUCCGUCUGGUUAAUUCCGUUAACGAACGAGACCUCGGCACUCCGAAUAGCGCGGCGGACGUCGCGGCCUCCGGGCCGUCUUCCGUACGAGCUUCUUAGAGGGACCGUCCCCCGCCGGGGAAGGAGGUGCGAGGCAACGACAGGUCUGUGAUGCCCUUAGAUGUUCUGGGCCGCACGCGCAUUACACUGACGCGUCCAACGGGUGACUCCCGACCCGAAGGGGCCGGGGAAUCCGCAAGGCGCGUCGUGAUGGGGAUUGAACGUUGCAAUUGUUGUUCACGAACGAGGAAUUCCUAGUAGGCGCGGGUCAUCAACCCGCGCCGAUUACGUCCCUGCCCUUUGUACACACU
RNAcentral lists this ribosomal RNA (443 nucleotides) under uncultured eukaryote. RNAcentral describes it as "bacterial SSU rRNA". It matches the Rfam family "Eukaryotic small subunit ribosomal RNA", at positions 1216 to 1670 of the family's 1831-position model. The record is from RNAcentral.